Paralichthys olivaceus (Japanese flounder) is the source of this 697-nucleotide non-coding RNA. The record is from RefSeq and is a predicted model, not a curated record. Lineage: Eukaryota; Metazoa; Chordata; Actinopteri; Pleuronectiformes; Paralichthyidae.
GGACAUAUAAGGACAUGACAACAUAUUCCAUGAACUCCUGAGGGUGUGUGAGUCUGUGUCACAACAGUGGUUCCUCUUUCUCGCAUGAGGCUGCUGUAUAUAAGAUAACAGAUCCUUGCUUCAGUCAUUAUUCCACUGAACAGUGAAGCCGUUUGCAGCUGUGAUCAACUCACUGUUUGAAGAUGUGGACUCUUUCUGCCGGCCGCUGGAUGUUCCUGCUCACUCUGGCCCUUGUUAUGAUCGUCUCCUUAUCACAAGUGGCUACAGGCUGCUGUGAMAAAGUCACCACCAACAGAUACGUAGUCAAAAAGUGUUGGGAACAGAAGCGAUCAGGGAACUGCAAACUGCACGCCUACCUGAUUGAAACCAAAAUGAAAGGAACAAAGUGCAUCGAUCCAGAGGCCGCGUGGAUUAAACACCAGAUAAAAAAUGUGAGAAUCAGAUGAAAACCUCAUUAACAGUGAAUGUGCAGAUGAGCUUAUUCAGUAAAACUAUCUGGAUUUAAAAAUAACAAACAGAUAAUCAGUUUUGAACUAAACUAAACGAUGUCAGGUUUCAUUACAAGUUUUACGAGCCAAACAUAAACUAUAUUAAAGAUGCAGCAGCAAAUCACACAAURAAAUUAGCUCAUCAAACAACUAGAACAUGAAAAUACUGCUUUUUAUCUGUUUAUAUCAACUUCCUGUUUCCCUCUCUU